Molecule: ribosomal RNA, 599 nt
Filed under: Fusarium cerealis
Lineage: Eukaryota; Fungi; Ascomycota; Sordariomycetes; Hypocreales; Nectriaceae
Description: eukaryotic LSU rRNA
Rfam family: Eukaryotic large subunit ribosomal RNA
Source: RNAcentral
GUUGACCUCGGAUCAGGUAGGAAUACCCGCUGAACUUAAGCAUAUCAAUAAGCGGAGGAAAAGAAACCAACAGGGAUUGCCCUAGUAACGGCGAGUGAAGCGGCAACAGCUCAAAUUUGAAAUCUGGCUUUCGGGCCCGAGUUGUAAUUUGUAGAGGAUGAUUUUGAUGCGGUGCCUUCCGAGUUCCCUGGAACGGGACGCCAUAGAGGGUGAGAGCCCCGUCUGGUUGGAUGCCAAAUCUCUGUAAAUCUCCUUCGACGAGUCGAGUAGUUUGGGAAUGCUGCUCUAAAUGGGAGGUAUAUGUCUUCUAAAGCUAAAUACCGGCCAGAGACCGAUAGCGCACAAGUAGAGUGAUCGAAAGAUGAAAAGCACUUUGAAAAGAGAGUUAAAAAGUACGUGAAAUUGUUGAAAGGGAAGCGUUUAUGACCAGACUUGGGCUUGGUUAAUCAUCUGGGGUUCUCUCCAGUGCACUUUUCCAGCCCAGGCCAGCAUCAGUUUUCGCCGGGGGAUAAAGACUUCGGGAAUGUGGCUCCCCUCGGGGAGUGUUAUAGCCCGUUGUGUAAUACCCUGGUGGGGACUGAGGUUCGCGCCUUCUGCAA